Molecule: ribosomal RNA, 254 nt
Filed under: uncultured bacterium
Lineage: Bacteria
Description: partial 16S ribosomal RNA
Rfam family: Bacterial small subunit ribosomal RNA
Source: RNAcentral
CACGUAGGGUGCGAGCGUUGUCCGGAAUUAUUGGGCGUAAAGAGCUCGUAGGCGGUGUGUCGCGUCGGCCGUGAAAACCUGCAGCUUAACUGUGGGCUUGCGGUCGAUACGGGCAUCACUGGAGUUCGGCAGGGGAGACUGGAAUUCCUGGUGUAGCGGUGAAAUGCGCAGAUAUCAGGAGGAACACCGGUGGCGAAGGCGGGUCUCUGGGCCGAUACUGACGCUGAGGCUCGAAGGCCAGGGGAGCGAAAGGG